This 465-nucleotide ribosomal RNA is filed under the name uncultured Desulfobulbus sp. RNAcentral describes it as "bacterial SSU rRNA". It matches the Rfam family "Bacterial small subunit ribosomal RNA", at positions 923 to 1382 of the family's 1533-position model. The record is from RNAcentral. Lineage: Bacteria; Pseudomonadati; Thermodesulfobacteriota; Desulfobulbia; Desulfobulbales; Desulfobulbaceae.
GCACAAGCGGUGGAGCAUGUGGUUAAUUCGAUGCAACGCGAAGAACCUUACCUGGUCUUGACAUCCCGGAGACCCUUAGGAAACUAGGGGGUGCUUCCAUCUGGAAGAAUCUGGAGACAGGUGCUGCAUGGCUGUCGUCAGCUCGUGUCGUGAGAUGUUGGGUUAAGUCCCGCAACGAGCGCAACCCUUGCCUUUAGUUGCCAGCAGUUCGGCUGGGCACUCUAAAGGGACUGCCGGUGUUAAACCGGAGGAAGGUGGGGAUGACGUCAGGUCCUCAUGGCCUUUAUAGACCAGGGCUACACACGUACUACAAUGGCCGAUACAAAGGGCAGCGACACUGCGAGGUGAAGCCAAUCCCGUAAAAUCGGUCUCAGUCCGGAUUGGAGUCUGCAACUCGACUCCAUGAAGUUGGAAUCGCUAGUAAUCGUGGAUCAGCAUGCCACGGUGAAUACGUUCCCGGGCCUU